RNAcentral lists this transfer RNA (63 nucleotides) under Sphaerotheriidae sp. HYS-2012. RNAcentral's name for it is "tRNA-Asn". The record is from RNAcentral. Lineage: Eukaryota; Metazoa; Arthropoda; Diplopoda; Sphaerotheriida; Sphaerotheriidae.
UUGAUAAAAGCUAAUUGAGCAAUUCACUGUUAAUGAAUAGUAAAAGAAUAACUUUUUAUCAAG